RNAcentral lists this ribosomal RNA (362 nucleotides) under uncultured cyanobacterium. RNAcentral's name for it is "bacterial SSU rRNA". It matches the Rfam family "Bacterial small subunit ribosomal RNA", at positions 408 to 784 of the family's 1533-position model. The record is from RNAcentral. Lineage: Bacteria; Bacillati; Cyanobacteriota.
AGGAAGGCUCUUGGGUCGUAAACCUCUUUUCUCAGGGAAGAACACAAUGACGGUACCUGAGGAAUAAGCAUCGGCUAACUCCGUGCCAGCAGCCGCGGUAAUACGGAGGAUGCAAGCGUUAUCCGGAAUGAUUGGGCGUAAAGGGUCCGCAGGUGGCGAUGUAAGUCUGCUGUUAAAGCGUCUAGCUCAACUAGAUAAAAGCAGUGGAAACUACAUAGCUAGAGUACGUUCGGGGCAGAGGGAAUUCCUGGUGUAGCGGUGAAAUGCGUAGAGAUCAGGAAGAACACCAGUGGCGAAGGCGCUCUGCUAGGCCGUAACUGACACUGAGGGACGAAAGCUAGGGGAGCGAAUGGGAUUAGAUA